RNAcentral lists this transfer RNA (92 nucleotides) under Clostridia bacterium. Its description in RNAcentral is "tRNA-Ser". It matches the Rfam family "tRNA". From Rfam's summary of the family: Transfer RNA (tRNA) molecules are approximately 80 nucleotides in length. The record is from RNAcentral. Lineage: Bacteria; Bacillati; Bacillota; Clostridia.
GGAGAAGUAUCGAAGUGGUCGCAACGAGCCGCACUCGAAAUGCGGUUGUCUGCAAAACAGGCACAUGGGUUCGAAUCCCAUCUUCUCCGCCA